Molecule: ribosomal RNA, 484 nt
Filed under: uncultured bacterium
Lineage: Bacteria
Description: partial 16S ribosomal RNA
Rfam family: Bacterial small subunit ribosomal RNA
Source: RNAcentral
AUUGAACGCUGGCGGCAGGCCUAACACAUGCAAGUCGAGCGGAUGAAGGGAGCUUGCUCCUGGAUUCAGCGGCGGACGGGUGAGGAAUGCCUAGGAAUCUGCCUGGUAGUGGGGGAUAACGUCCGGAAACGGGCGCUAAUACCGCAUACGUCCUGAGGGAGAAAGUGGGGGAUCUUCGGACCUCCCGCUAUCAGAUGAGCCUAGGUCGGAUUAGCUAGUUGGUGGGGUAAAGGCCUACCAAGGCGACGAUCCGUAACUGGUCUGAGAGGAUGAUCAGUCACACUGGAACUGAGACACGGUCCAGACUCCUACGGGAAGCAGCAGUGGGGAAUAUUGGACAAUGGGCGAAAGCCUGAUCCAGCCAUGCCGCGUGUGUGAAGAAGGUCUUCGGAUUGUAAAGCACUUUAAGUUGGGAGGAAGGGCAGUAAGUUAAUACCUUGCUGUUUUGACGUUACCAACAGAAUAAGCACCGGCUAACUUCGUG